ACGUAGGGUGCAAGCGUUGUCCGGAAUUAUUGGGCGUAAAGAGCUCGUAGGCGGUUUGUCGCGUCUGCUGUGAAAACGCGAGGCUCAACCUCGCGCCUGCAGUGGGUACGGGCAGACUGGAGUGCGGUAGGGGAGAUUGGAAUUCCUGGUGUAGCGGUGGAAUGCGCAGAUAUCAGGAGGAACACCGAUGGCGAAGGCAGAUCUCUGGGCCGUAACUGACGCUGAGGAGCGAAAGCGUGGGGAGCGAACAGGAUUAGAUACCCUGGUAGUCCACGCCGUAAACGUUGGGCGCUAGAUGUGGGGACCAUUCCACGGUUUCCGUGUCGCAGCUAACGCAUUAAGCGCCCCGCCUGGGGAGUACGGCCGCAAGGCUA
Molecule: ribosomal RNA, 374 nt
Filed under: uncultured bacterium
Lineage: Bacteria
Description: bacterial SSU rRNA
Rfam family: Bacterial small subunit ribosomal RNA
Source: RNAcentral